CUCUUAUUCAGAACAGUGGAGGCAGAAGGGCCUUUGAAGCUGUGGCAACCCCGCAAGGCGGAAGGUGCCAACCUGAGCGAGUCAGUGAGAA
This 91-nucleotide non-coding RNA is filed under the name Clostridium sp. RNAcentral's name for it is "SAM-I sequence". It matches the Rfam family "SAM riboswitch aptamer (S box leader)". Rfam says of the family: The SAM riboswitch is found upstream of a number of genes which code for proteins involved in methionine or cysteine biosynthesis in Gram-positive bacteria. Lineage: Bacteria; Bacillati; Bacillota; Clostridia; Eubacteriales; Clostridiaceae. RNAcentral also lists the same sequence under 1 other name. The record is from RNAcentral.